RNAcentral lists this ribosomal RNA (475 nucleotides) under uncultured bacterium. RNAcentral describes it as "bacterial SSU rRNA". It matches the Rfam family "Bacterial small subunit ribosomal RNA", at positions 28 to 507 of the family's 1533-position model. The record is from RNAcentral.
GACGAACGCUGGCGGCGUGCCUAACACAUGCAAGUCGAGCGGGGUUGAAGCGAGAGGUAACUCGAGUUUCUACCUAGCGGCGGACGGGUGAGUAACGCGUGGGCAACCUGCCUCAAGGUCUGGGAUAACAGCCCGAAAGGGCUGCUAAUACCGGGUAUGCUUGUGGCCUCGCAUGGGGCUAUGAGCAAAGGGGAAACCCGCCUUGAGAUGGGCCCGCGUCCCAUCAGCUAGUUGGUGAGGUAAAAGCUCACCAAGGCGACGACGGGUAGCCGGCCUGAGAGGGUGACCGGCCACACUGGAACUGAGACACGGUCCAGACUCCUACGGGGGCAGCAGUGGGGAAUCUUCCACAAUGGGCGAAAGCCUGAUGGAGCGACGCCGCGUGAGCGAAGAAGGCCUUCGGGUUGUAAAGUCUCUGUCUGGAGGGACGAAGGAAGUGACGGUACCUCCGGAGGAAGCCACGGCUAACUACGUG